GACGANUCCCCAUUGAUUCUUAGUGCUUGCANUAAGAUGAUUUUGGAUCCGACUGAGUGGCGAACUGGUGAGUAACACGUGGGUAACCUGCCCAGAAGAAGGGGAUAACACCUGGAAACAGAUGCUAAUACCGUAUAACAACAAGAACCACAUGGUUCUUGUUUGAAAGCUGGCCUUUGUGCUAGUGCUUCUGGAUGGACCCGCGGCGUAUUAGCUAGUUGGUGAGAUAAUAGCUCACCAAGGCAAUGAUACGUAGCAGACCUGAGAGGGUAAUCUGCCACAAUGGGACUGAGACACGGCCCAUACUCCUACGGGAGGCAGCAGUAGGGAAUCUUCCACAAUGGACGAAAGUCUGAUGGAGCAACGCCGCGUGAGUGAAGAAGGGUUUCGGCUCGUAAAACUCUGUUGUUAGAGAAGAACAGCCGUGAGAGCAACUGCUCACGGUAUGACGGUAUCUAACCAGAAAGUCACGGCUAACUACGUGCCAGCAGCCGCGGUAAUACGUAGGUGGCAAACGUUGUCCGGAUUUAUUGGGCGUAAAAGGGAGCGCANGCGGUUUAUUAANUCUGAUGUGAAAGCCUUCGCUUAACCCGANAANUGCAUCGAAACUGAUAAACUUGAAUGCAAAAAGGGGGGGGGGGGGGNNNUGUGUACCGUUAAAUUCCUAAAUAUUUNAAAGGAACACCANUGGCGAAGGCGGCUAUNUGGUCUNUAAAAAAAAAACACNCCCCCUNNNUNCGGGG
Molecule: ribosomal RNA, 743 nt
Filed under: Fructilactobacillus sanfranciscensis
Lineage: Bacteria; Bacillati; Bacillota; Bacilli; Lactobacillales; Lactobacillaceae
Description: Lactobacillus sanfranciscensis partial 16S ribosomal RNA
Rfam family: Bacterial small subunit ribosomal RNA
Source: RNAcentral